RNAcentral lists this ribosomal RNA (331 nucleotides) under uncultured bacterium. Its description in RNAcentral is "bacterial SSU rRNA". It matches the Rfam family "Bacterial small subunit ribosomal RNA", at positions 568 to 898 of the family's 1533-position model. The record is from RNAcentral.
CGCGUAGGCGGCCUUGUUUGUCAGGCGUGAAAGCCCUGGGCUCAACCUGGGAACGGCGCUUGGGACGGCAAGGCUUGAGUUCGGGAGAGGAGAGUGGAAUUCCCAGUGUAGAGGUGAAAUUCGUAGAUAUUGGGAAGAACACCGGUGGCGAAGGCGGCUCUCUGGACCGAUACUGACGCUGAGGCGCGAAAGCGUGGGGAGCAAACAGGAUUAGAUACCCUGGUAGUCCACGCUGUAAACGAUGUGUGCUAGACGUUGGGGAGCCUAGCUCUUCGGUGUCGCAGCUAACGCGGUAAGCACACCGCCUGGGGAGUACGGCCGCAAGGUUAAA